UACGAAGGGGGCUAGCGUUGCUCGGAAUUACUGGGCGUAAAGCGCACGUAGGCGGAUUGUUAAGUCGGGGGUGAAAUCCUGGAGCUCAACUCCAGAACUGCCUUCGAUACUGGCGAUCUCGAGUUCGGGAGAGGUGAGUGGAACUGCGAGUGUAGAGGUGAAAUUCGUAGAUAUUGGGAAGAACACCGGUGGCGAAGGCGGCUCACUGGCCCGUAACUGACGCUCAUGCACGACAGCGUGGGGAUCAAACAGG
Molecule: ribosomal RNA, 253 nt
Filed under: uncultured bacterium
Lineage: Bacteria
Description: partial 16S ribosomal RNA
Rfam family: Bacterial small subunit ribosomal RNA
Source: RNAcentral